RNAcentral lists this ribosomal RNA (544 nucleotides) under uncultured bacterium. Its description in RNAcentral is "bacterial SSU rRNA". It matches the Rfam family "Bacterial small subunit ribosomal RNA", at positions 102 to 674 of the family's 1533-position model. The record is from RNAcentral.
ACGGGGUAGGAAUACAUCGGAACGUACCUUUUGGUUGAGAAUAGCGUUGGGAAACUGACGGUAAUACUCAAUAAAGUCGAGAGACCAAAGGUUUACUGCCGGAAGAGCGGCCGAUGCGAUAUUAGGUAGUUGGUGGGGUAAUGGCCUACCAAGCCUGAGAUGUCUAGGGGGUGUGAGAGCAUGGCCCCCACCACUGGGACUGAGAUACUGCCCAGACACCUACGGGUGGCUGCAGUCGAGGAUCUUCGUCAAUGGGCGAAAGCCUGAACGAGCGACGCCGCGUGCGGGAUGAAGGCCCUUGGGUUGUAAACCGCUGUCAGGGGGGAUGAAACCGUAAGGUUGACAGAGCCCCAGAGGAAGCACGGGCUAAGUUCGUGCCAGCAGCCGCGGUAAUACGAACUGUGCGAACGUUACUCGGAAUCACUGGGCUUACAGGGUGCGUAGGUGGCUUGAUAAGCAGGGUGUGAAAUCCCUCGGCUCAACCGAGGAACUGCGCUCUGAACUGUCGAGCUAGAGUAUGCUAGAGGUGAAUGGAACAUCCAGU